Molecule: transfer RNA, 70 nt
Filed under: Camelus bactrianus (Bactrian camel)
Lineage: Eukaryota; Metazoa; Chordata; Mammalia; Artiodactyla; Camelidae
Also listed under: 2 other names
Rfam family: tRNA
About the family: Transfer RNA (tRNA) molecules are approximately 80 nucleotides in length. Their secondary structure includes four short double-helical elements and three loops (D, anti-codon, and T loops).
Source: Rfam by way of RNAcentral
GAGGGUGGAGCUCAGUGGUGAGUGCUUCCUCGCAAGCACAAGGUCCUGGGUUCAAUCCCCAGCGCCUCCA